This 489-nucleotide ribosomal RNA is filed under the name uncultured bacterium. RNAcentral describes it as "SSU rRNA". It matches the Rfam family "Bacterial small subunit ribosomal RNA", at positions 26 to 521 of the family's 1533-position model. The record is from RNAcentral.
AGAGCGAACGUUAGCGGCGGGCCUAACACAUGCAAGUCGAGCGAGAAAGUGGCUUCGGCCAUCAGUAAAGCGGCGGACGGGUGAGUAACACGUAGGUAAUCUUCCUUCGAGCGGGGGGACAACGUUCCGAAAGGGACGCUAAUACCGCAUACGUUUCCAGAGACUCCGGUUUUUGGAAGGAAAGCUAGGUAGCAAUAUCCGGCACUCGAUGAGGAGCCUGCGUCGCAUCAGCUAGUUGGUGGGGUAACGGCCUACCAAGGCGAAGACGCGUAGCUGGUCUGAGAGGAUGAUCAGCCACACUGGGACUGAGACACGGCCCAGACUCCUACGGGAGGCAGCAGUGGGGAAUAUUGGACAAUGGGCGCAAGCCUGAUCCAGCCACGCCGCGUGAGUGAUGAAGGCCUUCGGGUCGUAAAGCUCUUUUGUGCGGGAAGAUAAUGACGGUACCGCAAGAAUAAGCCCGGCUAACUUCGUGCCAGCAGCCGCGGU